CCUAGGGAGGCAGCAGUGAGGAAUAUUGGUCAAUGGCCGGAAGGCUGAACCAGCCAAGCCGCGUGAAGGACGAAGGUGCCAAGCAUUGUAAACUUCUUUUGUCAAGGGACAAAAUCAGGCUCGAGAGCCUGACCGAGGGUACUUGAAGAAAAAGCAUCGGCUAACUCCGUGCCAGCAGCCGCGGUAAUACGGAGGAUGCGAGCGUUAUCCGGAUUUAUUGGGUUUAAAGGGUGCGUAGGCGGGCUGUUAAGUCAGCGGUAAAAGCCCGGGGCUCAACCCCGGCGAGCCGUUGAAACUGGCUGUCUUGAGAUGUCGAGAGGUAUGCGGAAUGCGCAGUGUAGCGGUGAAAUGCUUAGAUAUCGCGCAGAACCCCGAUUGCGAAGGCAGCGUACCGGCUCCACACUGACGCUGAGGCACGAAAGCGUGGGUAUCGAACAGGAUUAGAUACCCUUGUAGUC
RNAcentral lists this ribosomal RNA (458 nucleotides) under uncultured bacterium. RNAcentral's name for it is "partial 16S ribosomal RNA". It matches the Rfam family "Bacterial small subunit ribosomal RNA", at positions 338 to 795 of the family's 1533-position model. The record is from RNAcentral.